UGGCUCUAGCUAGUUUCCUGGGUUGGGCUGAAUGCUGAAGCAUGGUGAGCAAUGAGCCGUUUUACAGGAAGGAAGAAGGAUCACCAGGUCACAUAGCAAUUAAAGGUCGGCCAGGAUCUGGGCUCAGGUGUCUCCGUCCAUGUGACGCCUCCAGUAGGGUCAAACUUGCUGUGGGGAGCUGUGGAGUCUGCUGGAAAAACCAGGGAAAUGGAUUUGCAGCACUCUCGGAAAAAGCCAACACGUUGCCGGAGACGAGCAGAGGCGGCUUGGUUCCAUCCCCAGACGCUUUCUGGUGGCUUUCUGGAGACAGAGGGCGGCAGGAUGAGCUGUCUGCGGCUGUUCCCCGGACAACAUCUGCAGUGAGCCUUGCAGCCUUGACAAGCAGCCACCCCAUCGUGGGCCGGGUGAUGAGAGGGGAAGCCCAGAGGGACCUGACAGAGCCCUCGGGUCAGGGAGGCCACCAGGGGAAGCCAGUGCCUGAGAUGAGCCUCAGGAGUGGCCAUGUAGAACCUUCUAGGUGGAGGGACACCCUGCCCGGCCUCUGGCCGAGAGGCUCCCUGCAGGAAACCAGUGGGAGCCCAGUGUGGCUGGGACUCUCAGGGUGAAGGCAGGAGAUGGGGAGGCUGGAGAGAGGGACAGGAGCACUCGGGGUCCUGGCGUCUUUCCCUGCUACCACCCUUCAGGGACCGUUAGUCCAGGUGUGGGGAGGCACCUUUGGGUGGGGUAUGGCCCCUGCUGCUCACCCACAAUGCCCACCCUAGGCCUGGAGCUGGCAAAGGGACACUGACCAGAGGCCACUGUUCUGCUUGCUGUGGGCUUGGCUGAGGCUGCCUGGCAGCAGUGGACACAUUCCCAGCCAUGGCCCCUGUGAGUGGUACCACCUACCUGAAGAGAGCCUGGGCCAGUCCCCUGCCCAGGCAGACCAUCUCCCCUGUCAGCAGGGCUCAGGAGGCCACCGCACCCAGGUGCAUCUCAGUGUUCAUUCAUCCACUCAUUCAUUCCUCGGGAGGAACAUCAACACCUGGGCCUGGGCAAGGCAAUGGGGAGCGAGCCCCACAGCGUUACGGCGGGGGCAGGUUGGGGGGCAGGACUCACAGCA
Molecule: long non-coding RNA, 1099 nt
Filed under: Rhinopithecus bieti (black snub-nosed monkey)
Lineage: Eukaryota; Metazoa; Chordata; Mammalia; Primates; Cercopithecidae
Description: lncRNA (ENSRBIG00000045559.1)
Source: RNAcentral